GACGUAGGGCGCGAGCGUUGUCCGGAUUUAUUGGGCGUAAAGAGCUCGUAGGCGGCUUGUCGCGUCGUCCGUGAAAACCUGCGGCUCAACUGCAGGCUGGCGGUCGAUACGGGCAGGCUGGAGUUCGGUAGGGGAGACUGGAAUUCCUGGUGUAGCGGUGAAAUGCGCAGAUAUCAGGAGGAACACCGGUGGCGAAGGCGGGUCUCUGGGCCGAUAUUGACGCUGAGGAGCGAAAAGCGUGGGGGAGCGAAACAGG
RNAcentral lists this ribosomal RNA (256 nucleotides) under uncultured bacterium. RNAcentral's name for it is "partial 16S ribosomal RNA". It matches the Rfam family "Bacterial small subunit ribosomal RNA", at positions 524 to 776 of the family's 1533-position model. The record is from RNAcentral.